This 274-nucleotide ribosomal RNA is filed under the name uncultured bacterium. RNAcentral describes it as "partial 16S ribosomal RNA". It matches the Rfam family "Bacterial small subunit ribosomal RNA", at positions 523 to 796 of the family's 1533-position model. The record is from RNAcentral.
CUACGGAGGGUGCAAGCGUUGUUCGGAAUUACUGGGCGUAAAGGGUGUGUAGGCGGCUGGGUAAGUCCGAUGUGAAAUCCCUCGGCUCAACCGAGGACGUGCAUCGGAUACUGCUCAGCUUGAGUCUCGGAGAGGGGGGUGGAAUUCCCGGUGUAGAGGUGAAAUUCGUAGAUAUCGGGAGGAACACCAGUGGCGAAGGCGACCCCCUGGACGAAGACUGACGCUGAGACACGAAAGCGUGGGUAGCAAACAGGAUUAGAAACCCCGGUAGUCC